RNAcentral lists this ribosomal RNA (497 nucleotides) under uncultured bacterium. Its description in RNAcentral is "partial 16S ribosomal RNA". It matches the Rfam family "Bacterial small subunit ribosomal RNA", at positions 30 to 523 of the family's 1533-position model. The record is from RNAcentral.
AUUGAACGCUGGCGGCAUGCCUUACACAUGCAAGUCGAACGGUAACAGGUCUUCGGAUGCUGACGAGUGGCGAACGGGUGAGUAAUACAUGGGAACGUGCCUAGUAGUGGGGGAUAACUACUCGAAAGAGUGGCUAAUACCGCAUGAGAUCUACGGAUGAAAGCAGGGGAUCGCAAGACCUUGUGCUACUAGAGCGGCCGAUGGCAGAUUAGGUAGUUGGUGGGAUAAAAGCUUACCAAGCCGACGAUCUGUAGCUGGUCUGAGAGGACGAUCAGCCACACUGGGACUGAGACACGGCCCAGACUCCUACGGGAGGCAGCAGUGGGGAAUUUUGGACAAUGGGCGCAAGCCUGGUCCAGCAAUGCCGCGUGCAGGAUGAAGGCCUUCGGGUUGUAAACUGCUUUUGUACGGAACGAAAAGCCCUGGGUUAAUACCCUGGGUCAUGACGGUACCGUAAGAAUAAGCACCGGCUAACUACGUGCCAGCCGCCGCGGUAA